ACAGUUUGAUCAUGGCUCAGAACGAACGCUGGCGGCGUGCCUAACACAUGCAAGUCGAACGGGGUCCAUGAGAGCUUGCUCUCGGAAGACCUAGUGGCGAACGGGUGAGUAACACGUGAGAAACCUGCCUCGGAGUGGGGAAUAACUCGGGGAAACCCGAGCUAAUACCGCUUACCCUCAGAUGGUCGCAUGGCCGACUGAGGAAAGAAUUUCGCUCUGAGAGGGUCUCGCGGCCUAUCAGCUAGUUGGUGGGGUAACGGCCUACCAAGGCAACGACGGGUAGCUGGUUUGAGAGAACGAUCAGCCCCACUGGGACUGAGACACGGCCCAGACUCCUACGGGAGGCAGCAGUGGGGAAUCUUGCGCAAUGGGCGAAAGCCUGACGCAGCAACGCCGCGUGCGGGAUGACGGCCUUCGUGGUUGUAAACCGCUUUCAGCAGGGACGAAAAUGACGGUACCUGCAGAAGAAGCCCCGGCUAACUACGUGCCAGCAGCCGCGGUAAUACGUAGGGGGCGAGCGUUGUCCGGAUUCAUUGGGCGUAAAGAGCUCGCAGGCGGUUCAGUAAGUCAGGUGUUAAAGCUCCGAGCUCAACUCGGAGAGGCCCAUUUGAUACUGCUGUGACUAGAAUCCAGUAGGGGAGCGUGGAAUUCCUGGUGUAGCGGUGAAAUGCGCAUAUAUCAGGAGGAACACCAGCGGCGAAGGCGGCCCUCUGGGCUUG
This 719-nucleotide ribosomal RNA is filed under the name uncultured Actinomycetes bacterium. Its description in RNAcentral is "bacterial SSU rRNA". It matches the Rfam family "Bacterial small subunit ribosomal RNA", at positions 8 to 737 of the family's 1533-position model. The record is from RNAcentral. Lineage: Bacteria; Bacillati; Actinomycetota; Actinomycetes.